CUAAGGGCGUACGGUGGAUGCCUUGGCUUGAAGAGGCGAAGAAAGACGUGGCACGACUGCGAAAAGCUUCGGGGAGGUGUCUAGCAACCUUUGAUCCGGAGAUGUCUGAAUGGGGAAACCCGUCCGAGUAAACCUCGGUCACCCCGCCUAGGCGGGGAGCAAACCCAGGGAAUUGAAACAUCUUAGUACCUGGAGGAAAAGAAACCAAUAUGCGGAUUUUUUACUGUGUUGGCGAUGUUUGCCGAUACGGUAAAAAAUCCUGGCAUUUCCUUAGUAGCGGCGAUUGAAGAAUGAGCCGGCGAGUUUGCGCAUGCGGCUUGGCUAAGGGGAGACCCCCGGAGCCACAGCGAAAGCGAGUGUGAAUAGCGCGACCUAUAGGUCGUACGCGCAAGACCCGAAGCUAGGUGAGCUUGCCAUGGGCAGGUUGAAGCGGCUGUAACAAGCCGUGGAGGACCGAACCGGUUGGUUGUACAACGCCAUCGGAUGACCUGUGGUAGGGAGUGAAAAGCUAAUCGAACCUAGCAAUAGCUGGUUCUCUCCGAAAUAGUUUUAGGACUAGCGUCAUGUGUUCCUACUGGGGGUAGAGCACUGGAAGGUCUGAAUAGGGAGAAAUCUCGUCAGACCUAUCAAACUCCGAAUACCAGUAGUUUAUAGCGUGGCAGUCAGAACGUGGGGGCUAAGCUCCACUGUUCAAAAGGGAAACAGCCCAGAUCGCCAGUUAAGGUCCCUAAAUCCAUACUCAGUGCAUUUUAAGGAGGUGAAAUUUCUGUGACAAUCAGGAGGUUGGCUUAGAAGCAGCCAUCCUUUAAAGAUAGCGUAACAGCUCACUGAUCCAGAGAUUUUGCGCCGAAGAUAAUCGGGGCUAAAGUAUGGUACCGAAACUGCGGAUGUCGUACGCAUCACAUUGCAUGUGAUGCGAAGUUAAAAGUAAAAAGUGUAGAGUUUAUAAAGUAGCCAUGUUUAUCAGCCAAGGGUUAGUCGGGCCUAAGGGGAUCCUGAAAACUGUUUAAUCAGAAAUCCAAGCAGAGCGGGAAGCUGGCGGCUUCGGCCAACGGCAAUGUAAGGGAGCACGCUUCCAAGAAAAGCCUCUAAGCUCUAGAUAUGUAGAGACCGUACCUAAACCGACACAGGUGGGAAGGUCGAGAAGACUAAGACGAACGAGUGAUUUCUCCCCAAGGAACUCGGCAAAAAAGCGGCCGUAACUUAGGGAUAAGGCCUGCCCCCACCACUUGUGGUGGGGGCCGCAGCGAAAGUUUGCCUGGCGACUGUUUACCAAAAACACAGCUCUCUGCGAACUCGUAAGAGGAUGUAUAGAGGGUGACACCUGACCAAUGCCAGAAGGUUAAAUAUUGUUGGUAACGUAUCACAUUGCAUGUGAUACUGAGUAAAAAGUAAAAAGUGUAAAGUUUAUAAAGUAAAAACGAAAAACGUCGUAACUUUUAACUUUCAACUUUAAAACUUUUAACUUAAGUAUCGUGCGCAGCGUGAUACGUUGCUGGACGAUAUAAGCCCUGGUCAAUGUCAGCGAUAACUAUAAUCGUUCUAAGGUUUGUUACAUGUCAUUCGUGAUGUGUAACAAAGGACUGGAACGAUUAUAGAGUGGGUAAACAGGAGUACAGACAGUACAUUACACCAUACAACAAGGCUACCUUUAUACUUGGUAACGAGUAUAUUGUCCGCCCACGGCCAACUAGAGACCGUCUCGGGGAGUAGCUCGGUGAAAACGCAAUACCGGUAAAGAUGCCGGUUACCCGCGGUUAGACAGAAAGACCCCGUGGAGCUUUACUGCAGCUUCGUAUUGGAUCUGUGUGUUUAUUGCGUAGAAUAGGUGGGAGACUUUGAAGCGGCCCUUUUGGGGGUUGUGGAGUCGACAGUGAAAUACCACUCUAUAAAUGUGCAGGUUCUAACCUACAUGGACAUAAAACCCAUGAGAGACAGUGCGUGGCAGGCAGUUUUACUGGGGCGGUACCCUCCUAAAGAGUAACGGAGGGGUUCAAAGGUUAGCUAGGCGCGAAUGGAAACCGUGCCGAUAGUGUAAGAGCAUAAGCUAGCUUGACUGCAAGGGGUACAUCCCGAGCAGGUGCGAAAGCAGAAUCUAGUGAACCGACAGUUCGCAUUAGAUGCGGCUGGAGAUUAACGGAUAAAAGUUACCCCGGGGAUAACAGGCUAGUUCCGCCCAAGCGUCCAAAGCGACGGCGGAGUUCGGCACCUCGAUGUCGGCUCACCACAUCCUGGGGCUGGAGAAGGUCCCAAGGGUACGGCUGUUCGCCGUUUAAAGUGGUACGCGAGCUGGGUUCAAACCGUUCAGAGGUUGAAUCCGCCAGUUGGCGAAUUGACAAUUGAACAGUUUGAACCCGCAUAGAGAGUUUUAGUUUUUCUGUCUUAUAAAGUGUCUAUACAUUUCACCAGCGGUGGUGAUUCAUGUAUAUACAAAAAGUGUAGAGAACAACCUUAUUACGGCGGUCCCUAAAACACUAUCAAGGAUAGUGUUCGGGUUUAAAGUUGACUAAAAUCGGUGAAACCCGACCAGACAUAUGUCUGAGGGCAAUACCGAGGGAACCAAGUCCUAACAAAGUUAGAACUUGGACCUGUAGAGACUGAACGUCGACUACCCCCCACCACUUUUCUAAAAAAAGUGGUGGGGGGGAAAGUUACAGUCCAUCCCAUAUGGAAACAUGUGAAAAGGAGCGUGAGACAGGUUGGUUCUCUAUCUACCGUGGGCGUUGAUUCUUGAGGAGAUUUGUCCCUAGUACGAGAGGACCGGGAUGAACUGACCUCUGGUCUAUCGGCUGUAGCGUCAGCUGCACUGCCGAGUAGCUAAGUUGGGAAUGGAUAACCGCUGAAAGCAUCUAAGCGGGAAGCCAACUCCAAGAUAAGGAAUCAUUUGAGACCCGUAGGAGACUACUACGUUGAUAGGCACCAGGUGGAAGUACAGUAAUGUAUUAAGCCGAGGUGUACUAAUUCGUCGAGU
This 2971-nucleotide ribosomal RNA is filed under the name Parcubacteria group bacterium GW2011_GWD2_42_14. RNAcentral's name for it is "bacterial LSU rRNA". It matches the Rfam family "Bacterial large subunit ribosomal RNA". The record is from RNAcentral.